GUCGUGAGAUGUUGGGUUAAGUCCCGCAACGAGCGCAACCCUUAUCCUAUGUUGCCAGCGGGUAAUGCCGGGGACUCGUAGGAGACUGCCGGGGUCAACUCGGAGGAAGGUGGGGAUGAGGUCAAGUCAUCAUGCCCCUUAUGUCCAGGGCUGCACACAUGCUACAAUGGCCGGUACAAAGGGCUGCUAUCCCGCGAGGGUGAGCCAAUCCCCUAAAGCCGGUCUCAGUUCGGAUUGGAGUCUGCAACCCGACUCCAUGAAGUCGGAGUCGCUAGUAAUCCCGGAUCAGCAACGCCGGGGUGAAUACGUUCCCGGGCCUUGUACACACCGCCCGUCACACCACGAAAGUCGGCAACACCCGAAGCCGGUGGCCCAACCCGCAAGGGGGGGAGCCGUCGAAGGUGGGGUCGGCGAUUGGGGUGAAGUCGUAACAAGGUAGCCGUACCGGAAGGUGCGGCUGGAUCACCUCCUUUCUAAGGAGUCAGUGCCCUUCUCACGAGGGGCGACUCCCGAAUGUUGAUCACUGGCCGGCGGCGACACUCUGUUCCGUUUUGAGGGAGCGACACCCGCACUAGGCGGGGCCUCGCUUCGCCUGAGGCGUCGGGAUGCUCGACGUCGCGGUCCCUUGAGAAUUCCAUAGCGAGCACGAGCAUCUUUGUUCUCCAAGCUACAAAGAGCCAACGGUGGAUGCCUUGGCGCCUGAAGCCGAUGAAGGACGUGGGUGGCUGCGAUAAGCCACGGGGAGCUGCCGACCGAGCGUCGAUCCGUGGAUGU
This 774-nucleotide small RNA is filed under the name uncultured Acidimicrobium sp. Its description in RNAcentral is "bacterial SSU rRNA". The stretch from base 1 to 473 matches the Rfam family "Bacterial small subunit ribosomal RNA", at positions 1064 to 1533 of the family's 1533-position model. Lineage: Bacteria; Bacillati; Actinomycetota; Acidimicrobiia; Acidimicrobiales; Acidimicrobiaceae. The record is from RNAcentral.